Long non-coding RNA from Panthera uncia (snow leopard), 1277 nucleotides. RefSeq lists it as uncharacterized. Lineage: Eukaryota; Metazoa; Chordata; Mammalia; Carnivora; Felidae. The transcript is spliced from 5 exons. The record is from RefSeq and is a predicted model, not a curated record.
CAGGGAUACAGCUCUGAUCCACAAAGAUACUGGGGAGAUGUCUCAGCAAAAAAAUAAAGAAGAGAGAUUUUUAUUUAUUUUUGAGAGAAAGAGCGCUAGCGAGGGAGAGGCAAAGAGAGAGGAGGACAGAGGAUCUGAAGCAGGCUCUACGCUGACAGCAGAGAACCCAACGCGGGGUUGGAAUUCAUGAACUUUUGGCUUUCAGACACAGCCAGAGACCCUACGAGGGUCAAAGAGAACACUUUCCUCCCCUACCGGAACAGCAAGCAUAGUGUGUGUGGACCAGAAGGAGACCAGAGAACGAUUUGCAAUGAUAACUCAAGUAGAGAAAGCAACAACAGUGGUCCUAAGCGGCUAUGGCUUCUGUCGCCUAACAGCUUGAGAGUCUUGGCAAAGAGAGAGACAGAGCAUGAACGGGAGAGGGGCAGAGAGAGAGGGAGACACAGAAUCCGAAGCAGGCUCCAGGCUCCGUCCAAGCUGUCAGCACAGAGCCCGACGCAGGGCUCGAACUCAGGAACAGUGAGAUCAAGACCUGAGAGGAAGUCGGAUGCUUCACCGAGGGAGCCACCCAGAUGCCCCAAAGGGCGAUUAAUUUGUGAAGAAAGGAUAAAACAAAGGAAAAAAAGGGCUUGAGUUUCUAGGAGUGGUAAAUUGUGAGAAGGUAAACGUAUGGGGGAAACUAAUGGCGAAUAAGGGUUACUUUAGUCAGGUUUGUUUGUGCAGACCCAUCUCGGUGCUGUACCCCUCUUACGGUGUCCAGUGAUUAAAAGUCUGUUGUCCUUUUCCUGGUAUGGGAGAGGGGAGGAGGACACCUUCACAAAGGGAAAUUGAUGCCCUAAUUUUAGGCAGAUAGGGAGAGGGGAAGGAUAGAGAGCUUUUCUGGCAUCUGCUGUUUCUUUCCUUCUUAUUUUAAGUUUGUUUACAGAGAGAGAGAGGGAAAGAGAGAGAUUGAGAUUGAGAUUGAGAGAUUCCCAAGCAGGCUUCAUGCUGCCAAUGCAGAGCCCGACUCAGGGCUCAACCUGACAAACAUGAGAUCAUGACCUGAGCCAAAAUCAAGACUGGGACACCUAACCAACUGAGCCACCCAGGCACUCUGCAUCAGCUGUUUCUAAACGGCCAUCAGCUCAAAAUAAUUCUUAGGCCAAAGUGGCAUAUUUUGUAGUGGUCUAUUCUGAUGACGUUCAAAUGCAUCCCUCAUGAAACCUGAAUUCAUAUACCUGGAUCUGUACUUCUUUGCACAAAUAUAACAACCUCUAAAGGAUUAAUAGAUAUUGCCC